UCUCACAGCCCUGCCCCAAAACAAUGUUUAACUAGAUAUCUGGACAUCCCAUGGCCCAAUCAAGUUGCCCCAUAAAAUUAAGCAUCACAA
Molecule: non-coding RNA, 90 nt
Organism: Ceratotherium simum simum (southern white rhinoceros)
Lineage: Eukaryota; Metazoa; Chordata; Mammalia; Perissodactyla; Rhinocerotidae
Source: RefSeq, a predicted model, not a curated record